This 630-nucleotide long non-coding RNA is filed under the name Homo sapiens (human). Its description in RNAcentral is "DPPA2 upstream binding RNA". Lineage: Eukaryota; Metazoa; Chordata; Mammalia; Primates; Hominidae. The record is from RNAcentral.
AUGAUCGAACAUUAUUUCUGGUUGUGUUCAUGAAGCUUUUUCUGGAGGAAAUUCGCAUUUGAAUUGAUGGACUGAAUAAAGCAGAUUGCAGUCCCCAGUGUGGAUGGGCUUGAUCCAGUCUUCUAAGGACCCAAAUAAAAUAGGUGGAGGAAGCUUGAAUUUUCUGCCUGACUGUGGCGCUGGGACACCCAUCUUCUCCUGCCCUUGAACUGGGACUGACACCAUCAGUGCUCCUGGUUCUCAGACCUUCGGACAGCAGACUUGGGGCCUUCUCGGCCUCCAUUAUUGUAGGAGAAAAUGAGACACUGAGUGGGACUCAGGGAUUGCUCCAGGCCACACAGUCAGCAGGAGGCAAAGCCCAGAUUCAAAUGCAGAUUACUCAGCUCCACAAUCCACAUCCUCACAGGAGGCUGCACUCCUUGCCCAAGCGUCAGACAGGAGCAAAGAGAAAGAAGGCAACCAGCUGGCUACUUUCUUCCCUUCUUGGAUGCCUCCAACAGGGUGAGAAGGACUAAACAAAUGACCAAGUGUCAUCCCAUUUUGGACAUACUUAAAACACCCCAUGGAAUUUUUAUUCUGACUUUCUUCUGCCUGUGUGGCAUUUAUGUUUAAAUAAAAGAGAAUUCAACU